RNAcentral lists this ribosomal RNA (1085 nucleotides) under Coryphaenoides dossenus. RNAcentral describes it as "partial 16S ribosomal RNA". It matches the Rfam family "Bacterial large subunit ribosomal RNA", at positions 792 to 2519 of the family's 2925-position model. Lineage: Eukaryota; Metazoa; Chordata; Actinopteri; Gadiformes; Macrouridae. The record is from RNAcentral.
CAAAAGAGUGGGAAGAGCUUCAAGUAGAGGUGACAAACCUAUCGAGCGCAGUAAUAGCUGGUUGCCUGAGAAAUGGAUAGAAGUUCAGCCCUUUAAAUUUCUCCCCCCAAACAUAUUUGUAAGAUCAAAGAAAAUUAGGGAGUUAAUCAGAAGGGGUACAGCCCUUUUGAUAAAAGAAACAACUUUAGUAGGUGAAACAGGAUCAUAUCAACCAAGGAUUAAGAUUUAAGUGGGCCUAAAAGCAGCCAUCUUUAAAGAAAGCGUUAAAGCUCCAACUAGCCCCCGCCCCUCAUAUUCUGGUAUCUAAUCUUCCCCCUCCCUACCAUUUACCAAGCUGUCUUAUGCCCCCAUAAGAAUAAUUAUGCUAAAAUGAGUAAUAAGAAGAAAUUCUACUUCUUCUCCUAGCAUAAGUGUAAGUCGAACCGGACCUCCCACCGACCAUUAUCCGAUCCCAACCCAAGAGGGCCUUAAGUUAAAAAACAAGAAAACCACUUAAUCAUAAUCGUUAACCUCACACAAGAAUGCAUCAAGGAAAGACUAAAAGGGAAGAAAGGAACUCGGCAAACUCAAGCCUCGCCUGUUUACCAAAAACAUCGCCUCUUGACCCACAAAUAUAAGAGGUCUCGCCUGCCCAGUGACUAAGCGUUUAACGGCCGUGGUAUCUUAACCAUGCGAAGGUAGCGUAAUCACUUGUCUUUUAAAUGAAGACCUGUAUGAAUGGCAAAACGAGGGCUUAACUGUCUCUCUCCCCCAGUCAAUGAAAUUGACCUCCCCGUGCAGAGGCGGGGAUAAACAUAUAAGACGAGAAGACCCUGUGGAGCUUUAGACUUAAAAUAACCACGUUAACAAACUUCGACACAAGAAAAAACUCACUGAAUUUUAUUUAGAUGUCUUUGGUUGGGGUGACCGCGGGGUAAAACACAACCCCCACGAAGAUAGGGGAGACAUCCCCAGCACUAAGAACCACCCCUCUAAGUAACAAAAUUUUUGACUUGAAAUGAUCCGGCUUAGCCGAUUAACGAACUCAGUUACCCCAGGGAUAACAGCGCAAUCCCCUCUCAGAGCUCCUAUCGACGAGGGGGUUU